RNAcentral lists this unclassified non-coding RNA (332 nucleotides) under uncultured Spiromastix. Its description in RNAcentral is "sequence contains ITS1". The stretch from base 1 to 105 matches the Rfam family "5.8S ribosomal RNA", at positions 50 to 154 of the family's 154-position model. Lineage: Eukaryota; Fungi; Ascomycota; Eurotiomycetes; Onygenales; Onygenaceae. The record is from RNAcentral.
GAAAUGCGAUAAGUAAUGUGAAUUGCAGAAUUCCGUGAAUCAUCGAAUCUUUGAACGCACAUUGCGCUCCCUGGUAUUCCGGGGAGCAUGCCUGUCCGAGCGUCAUUGCAACCCCUUCAAGCUCAGCUUGUGUGUUGGGCGUCGUCCCCGCUGGACGCGCCCGAAAAGCAGUGGCGGCUCCGUGCCUUGGUGCCCGAGCGUAUGGGCUUUGUUACCCGCUCUAGUGGCCCGGCCGGCGCUGGCCCCCUAAGUCUUAACUGGACUCCAGUUAAGGUCUUAACUAAAACUUCGUGGUUGACCUCGGAUCAGGUAGGGAUACCCGCUGAACUUAA